UAUUGGGCGUAAGCGCGCGCAGGUGGUUCUUUAAGUCUGAUGUGAAAGCCCACGGCUCAACCGUGGAGGGUCAUUGGAAACUGGGGAACUUGAGUGCAGAAGAGGAAAGUGGAAUUCCACGUGUAGCGGUGAAAUGCGUAGAGAUGUGGAGGAACACCAGUGGCGAAGGCGACUUUCUGGUCUGUAACUGACACUGAGGCGCGAAAGCGUGGGGAGCGAACAGGAUUAGAUACCCUGGUAGUCCACGCCGUAAACGAUGAGUGCUAAGUGUUAGAGGGUUUCCGCCCUUUAGUGCUGCAGCUAACGCAUUAAGCACUCCGCCUGGGGAGUACGGCCGCAAGGCUGAAACUCAAAGGAAUUGACGGGGGCCCGCACAAGCGGUGGAGCAUGUGGUUUAAUUCGAAGCAACGCGAAGAACCUUACCAGGUCUUGACAUCCUCUGACAACCCUAGAGAUAGGGCCUUCCCCUUUUGGGGGACAGAGUGACAGGUGGUGCAUGGUUGUCGUCAGCUCGUGUCGUGAGAUGUUGGGUUAAGUCCCGCAACGAGCGCAACCCUUGAUCU
Molecule: ribosomal RNA, 563 nt
Filed under: uncultured Bacillus sp.
Lineage: Bacteria; Bacillati; Bacillota; Bacilli; Caryophanales; Bacillaceae
Description: SSU rRNA
Rfam family: Bacterial small subunit ribosomal RNA
Source: RNAcentral